Molecule: ribosomal RNA, 253 nt
Filed under: uncultured bacterium
Lineage: Bacteria
Description: partial 16S ribosomal RNA
Rfam family: Bacterial small subunit ribosomal RNA
Source: RNAcentral
UACAGGGGAUGCAAGUGUUAUCCGGAAUCAUUGGGCGUAAAGCGUCUGCAGGUGGACUUUUAAGUCUUUUGUUAAACCUCCGGGCUUAACCUGGAAUCUGCAAAGGAAACUAUUUGUCUUGAGUAUGGUAGAGGUAAAGGGAAUUUCCAGUGGAGCGGUGAAAUGCUUAGAUAUUGGAAAGAACACCAAGGGCGAAGGCACUUUACUGGGCCAGUACUGACACUGAGAGACGAAAGCUAGGGGAGCAAACGGG